GACGAACGCUGGCGGCGUGCCUAAUACAUGCAAGUAGAACGCUGAAGAGAGGAGCUUGCUCUUCUUGGAUGAGUUGCGAACGGGUGAGUAACGCGUAGGUAACCUGCCUUGUAGCGGGGGAUAACUAUUGGAAACGAUAGCUAAUACCGCAUAACAAUGGAUGACACAUGUCAUUUAUUUGAAAGGGGCAAUUGCUCCACUACAAGAUGGACCUGCGUUGUAUUAGCUAGUAGGUGAGGUAACGGCUCACCUAGGCGACGAUACAUAGCCGACCUGAGAGGGUGAUCGGCCACACUGGGACUGAGACACGGCCCAGACUCCUACGGGAGGCAGCAGUAGGGAAUCUUCGGCAAUGGGGGCAACCCUGACCGAGCAACGCCGCGUGAGUGAAGAAGGUUUUCGGAUCGUAAAGCUCUGUUGUAAGUCAAGAACGAGUGUGAGAGUGGAAAGUUCACACUGUGACGGUAGCUUACCAGAAAGGGACGGCUAACUACGUGCCAGCAGCCGCGGUAAUACGUAGGUCCCGAGCGUUGUCCGGAUUUAUUGGGCGUAAAGCGAGCGCAGGCGGUUUGAUAAGUCUGAAGUUAAAGGCUGUGGCUCAACCAUAGUUCGCUUUGGAAACUGUCAAACUUGAGUGCAGAAGGGGAGAGUGGAAUUCCAUGUGUAGCGGUGAAAUGCGUAGAUAUAUGGAGGAACACCGGUGGCGAAAGCGGCUCUCUGGUCUGUAACUGACGCUGAGGCUCGAAAGCGUGGGGAGCGAACAGGAUUAGAUACCCUGGUAGUCCACGCCGUAAACGAUGAGUGCUAGGUGUUGGAUCCUUUCCGGGAUUCAGUGCCGCAGCUAACGCAUUAAGCACUCCGCCUGGGGAGUACGACCGCAAGGUUGAAACUCAAAGGAAUUGACGGGGGCCCGCACAAGCGGUGGAGCAUGUGGUCUAAUUCGAAGCAACGCGAAGAACCUUACCAGGUCUUGACAUCCCGAUGCUAUUUCUAGAGAUAGAAAGUUACUUCGGUACAUCGGUGACAGGUGGUGCAUGGUUGUCGUCAGCUCGUGUCGUGAGAUGUUGGGUUAAGUCCCGCAACGAGCGCAACCCCUAUUGUUAGUUGCCAUCAUUCAGUUGGGCACUCUAGCGAGACUGCCGGUAAUAAACCGGAGGAAGGUGGGGAUGACGUCAAAUCAUCAUGCCCCUUAUGACCUGGGCUACACACGUGCUACAAUGGUUGGUACAACGAGUUGCGAGUCGGUGACGGCAAGCUAAUCUCUUAAAGCCAAUCUCAGUUCGGAUUGUAGGCUGCAACUCGCCUACAUGAAGUCGGAAUCGCUAGUAAUCGCGGAUCAGCACGCCGCGGUGAAUACGUUCCCGGGCCU
Molecule: ribosomal RNA, 1369 nt
Filed under: uncultured bacterium
Lineage: Bacteria
Description: bacterial SSU rRNA
Rfam family: Bacterial small subunit ribosomal RNA
Source: RNAcentral